This 1634-nucleotide ribosomal RNA is filed under the name metagenome. RNAcentral describes it as "bacterial LSU rRNA". It matches the Rfam family "Bacterial large subunit ribosomal RNA", at positions 1292 to 2912 of the family's 2925-position model. The record is from RNAcentral.
AAAUGCUGGCAUGAGUAGCGAGAGCGGCGUGGGAAACGCCGCCGCCGUAAACCCAAGGUUUCCCGGGCGAGGCUAAUCCCCCCGGGGUCAGUCGGGAGCUAAGGCGAGGCCGGAAGGCGUAGCCGAUGCACAGCGGGUCGACAUUCCCGCACCCCCGACGCGGAGUCUGACCGAAGGCGUGACGGAGGAGGGUAGCCGGACGGGGUUCUGGACGUCCCCGCGAUGGCGCGUAGGGCGAUGCCUUGUGAAACGCGGGCAUCACGUGGCCUGAGGCGCCGGACGAAGCGAGCGAGCGAAGCCGGUGAGCCCAUGCUCCCAAGAAAAGCACCUAGGGAUCCGCUAGGGGCCCGUACCGCAAACCGACACAGGUGGGUGGGUAGAACAUACCAAGGCGAUCGGGAGAACCAUGGUUAAGGAACUCGGCAAAACUGCCCCGUAACUUCGGGAGAAGGGGUGCCGGCGUGGCGUGGAGGGGCUUGCCCCCCGAGCGCGGGCCGGCCACAGCGAAGAGGUCCAGACGACUGUUUAUCAAAAACACAGGACUCUGCUCAAGCCGUAAGGCGACGCAUAGGGUCUGACGCCUGCCCGGUGCCGGAAGGUCACGGGGAGCGGUCAACCUCCGGGUGAAGCCGCGAACCCAAGCCCCGGUAAACGGCGGCCGUAACUAUAACGGUCCUAAGGUAGCGAAAUUCCUUGUCGGGUAAGUUCCGACCUGCACGAAAGGCGCAACGAUUUGGACGCUGUCUCGACCAUGGCCCCGGCGAAAUUGCACUAGUCGUGAAGAUGCGACUUACCCGCGGAAGGACGGAAAGACCCCGUGAACCUUUACUGCAGCUAGGCAUUGGCUGCCGGACCGUCGCGUAGAGGAUAGGUGGGAGGCAACGAACCGAGGGCGCCAGCCCCCGGGGAGCCACCCUUGGAAUACCACCCCCGACGCUCUGGCAUCCUAACCCCACGCCCUGACCGGGGUGGGGGACCGUGCCUGGUGGGUAGUUUGACUGGGGCGGUCGCCUCCCAAAGAGUAACGGAGGCGCGCGCAAGGUCUGCUCGGGACGGUCGGCAACCGUCCUCAAGAGUGCAAGAGCGUAAGCAGGCUUGACUGCGAGGCCAACAAGCCGAGCAGGUGGGAAACCAGGCUCUAGUGAUCCGGCGGCCCAGAGUGGAAUGGCCGUCGCUCAACGGAUAAAAGGUACUCCGGGGAUAACAGGCUGAUCUUCCCCAAGAGUCCACAUCGACGGGAAGGUUUGGCACCUCGAUGUCGGCUCAUCGCAUCCUGGGGCUGGAGCAGGUCCCAAGGGUAUGGCUGUUCGCCAUUCAAAGCGGUACGCGAGCUGGGUUCAGAACGUCGUGAGACAGUUCGGUCCCUAUCCUCCGUGGGCGCAGGAAGAUUGAGGGAGGCUGCCCCUAGUACGAGAGGACCGGGGUGGACGGACCUCCUGUGCACGGGUUGUCGACCAACGGCACCGCCCGGUAGCAGAGUCCGGUCUGGAUAACCGCUGAAGGCAUCUAAGCGGGAAGCCAGUCCCGAGAUGAGUCUUCCCUUCGGUAAGGGCCCUCGUAGACCACGAGGUCGAUAGGGCGCAGGUGCAAGCGCGGCGACGCGCUCAGCCGAGCGUCACUAAUAGCCCGAGCUC